RNAcentral lists this antisense RNA (193 nucleotides) under insect gut metagenome. RNAcentral describes it as "Yersinia sRNA 276". It matches the Rfam family "Yersinia sRNA 276". The record is from RNAcentral.
ACGGACAUAAGCGAUUCAUUUUGUGAGCCCUGGCCUACGGCGAGGUAGGCAUGCAUACCCAGCUCUUUCAUUUGUUGCUCGCCAAUCACGCGGGUAGCAACAUUCUGGCUAAAUGCAUCAGCAAGCUGGCGUGCCUGCGAGGCGAGAUAGGCGGCAUUACAAAUAUUCGGCGGCAUAUUGCUAAGAUCUUUGG